RNAcentral lists this ribosomal RNA (406 nucleotides) under bacterium enrichment culture clone ALO1_GLFRUDD03GUXH9. RNAcentral describes it as "bacterial SSU rRNA". It matches the Rfam family "Bacterial small subunit ribosomal RNA", at positions 9 to 416 of the family's 1533-position model. The record is from RNAcentral.
GAGUUUGAUCUUGGCUCAGAUUGAACGCUGGCGGCAUGCCUUACACAUGCAAGUCGAACGGCAGCACGGGAGCUUGCUCCUGGUGGCGAGUGGCGAGCGGGUGAGUAAUGCAUCGGAACGUAUCCUGGAGUGGGGGAUAACGUAGCGAAAGUUACGCUAAUACCGCAUAUUCUGUGAGCAGGAAAGCGGGGGACCUUCGGGCCUCGUGCUCUUGGAGCGGCCGAUGUCGGAUUAGCUAGUUGGUGAGGUAAAGGCUCACCAAGGCGACGAUCCGUAGCAGGUCUGAGAGGAUGAUCUGCCACACUGGAACUGAGACACGGUCCAGACUCCUACGGGAGGCAGCAGUGGGAAUUUUGGACAAUGGGGGCAACCCUGAUCCAGCCAUGCCGCGUGAGUGAAGAAGGCC